Molecule: long non-coding RNA, 870 nt
Filed under: Androctonus crassicauda
Lineage: Eukaryota; Metazoa; Arthropoda; Arachnida; Scorpiones; Buthidae
Source: RNAcentral
UGAUGAAUAAAGUUUUCUCUCUUUGAAUAAUUUUUCAAUUUUCUUCUGAAAGAUUAUCCAACAAAAUUUUUUUGUUUUUUUGUUCCUCUAGAAAAUCUGUAAUUGUGAUGCAUCGCAUAUUUUCCCUAAUUAUCAAGAAACGUUCAAACGGAAAACAUAUAAAACUAAGGAAAACUCUUUAAAUAAGUAUUUCGCGUAAUGUCAGUUAAAGUACAUCAGGAAAAAAAAAAAAAAGCACUUAGCGUGUCUUCAUUCUUCCGGCGCAAAGAGGAAAAAAAAAAAUCAAAAAAUAUUCAUUUUUCUCAUCAAAAAACAAUAUGGCAUCAUUUUAAAAAUACAAAAAGAAAAGAAAGAAAUUCUUUAAACGUUUUUCUUUUUUUAUUUAUUCCGGGCGUCGAUCAAUCGAAGAAAAUUGAUUAAAACGGAACUUAAUUAACUAAUGAAUUAAUUAACUGACUAUCAUAUUUUUAUGCUUUAUAAAGCGAGCGACUUCGAUUCGGUUGUGUCAGAAGCGUUGCGUAAUUCGAUUACUGAAACUGCUUUACGCAUUCGUCCUAAUUAAAACUGAUGUUUUGCUGAAAAUCGCUUCACGUCCAGGAAGACGGUCGAUUACCAAGCCAUCACUUCCUGCACGGGCGGAGGAGGGGUGCUAAUGAACGUCAUUGGACGUCAACGAUGACGUCGAUGACGUCAAUUUAAUUAAUGCGGUAAAUUCGACACUAACGCCAUCUGUGUUUAAUUGAACAGAUUAAAUAAUUCAAAAAUUUAAUUAAAAUUUUUAAUAUUUAUAAAAAUAGACGUAUAUGUUUAUACACACACGUAUAUAUAUAUAUAUAUAAUAUGCUAAAUAUGCUAAUGAAUAAAGUGGAC